CCUACGGGAGGCAGCAGUGAGGAAUAUUGGUCAAUGGGCUUACGCCUGAACCAGCCAAGUCGCGUGAGGGAAGACUGCCCUAUGGGUUGUAAACCUCUUUUGUCAGGGAGCAAUUGGCGCUACGUGUAGCGUUAUCGAGAGUACCUGAAGAAAAAGCAUCGGCUAACUCCGUGCCAGCAGCCGCGGUAAUACGGAGGAUGCGAGCGUUAUCCGGAUUUAUUGGGUUUAAAGGGUGCGUAGGCGGAAUAUCAAGUCAGCGGUAAAAAUUCGGGGCUCAACCCCGUCGUGCCGUUGAAACUGAUGUUCUUGAGUGGGCGAGAAGUAUGCGGAAUGCGUGGUGUAGCGGUGAAAUGCAUAGAUAUCACGCAGAACUCCGAUUGCGAAGGCAGCAUACCGGCGCCCAACUGACGCUGAAGCACGAAAGCGUGGGUAUCGAACAGGAUUAGAUACCCCAGUAGUC
RNAcentral lists this ribosomal RNA (460 nucleotides) under uncultured bacterium. RNAcentral describes it as "partial 16S ribosomal RNA". It matches the Rfam family "Bacterial small subunit ribosomal RNA", at positions 338 to 795 of the family's 1533-position model. The record is from RNAcentral.